Molecule: long non-coding RNA, 385 nt
Filed under: Macaca mulatta (Rhesus monkey)
Lineage: Eukaryota; Metazoa; Chordata; Mammalia; Primates; Cercopithecidae
Description: lncRNA (ENSMMUG00000057309.1)
Source: RNAcentral
UUCCUUAGAAUAGUCUGCUCCUCUCAUUUUCUCAAACAUCAUGGCCCCCCUAAGGCCCAAGGCCACAGCACAGAAUUAAUUUUAGUCCUAAAGAAGAGUAGAUAAUGAUCUGGCAUUUCUGAUCUCCAUCCAUCCAUCCAUCCAUCCAUCCAUCCUAACAUCAAUCAUUUAUCAGCAUGCACUGAGCACUGACUUUUUCAUAGGCAAUGAACUAGGAGGGGAAAUAGGAUCUGUGAGAUGCAGUUUCCUGCUGAGGAAUCUCUCUUCUCUUCCUGAGCCCCACCCCUCUGUAAGUAGUCAGAGACUUAAAGAAGACUUAAGAAGAUCCACGAAGAUUAAGGCAGAGCCUCAAGAAAGUCACAAUCUAAAGGAAGAAUGGCGUGAC